RNAcentral lists this ribosomal RNA (468 nucleotides) under uncultured bacterium. RNAcentral's name for it is "partial 16S ribosomal RNA". It matches the Rfam family "Bacterial small subunit ribosomal RNA", at positions 28 to 507 of the family's 1533-position model. The record is from RNAcentral.
GACGAACGCUGGCGGCGUGCUUAACACAUGCAAGUCGAACGGAAAGGCCCUGCUUUUGUGGGGUGCUCGAGUGGCGAACGGGUGAGUAACACGUGAGUAACCUGCCCUUGACUUUGGGAUAACUUCAGGAAACUGGGGCUAAUACCGGAUAGGAGCUCCUGCUGCAUGGUGGGGGUUGGAAAGUUUCGGCGGUUGGGGAUGGACUCGCGGCUUAUCAGCUUGUUGGUGGGGUAGUGGCUUACAAAGGCUUUGACGGGUAGCCGGCCUGAGGGGGUGACCGGCCACAUUGGGACUGAGGUACGGACCAGACUGCUACGGGAGGCAGCAGUGGGGAAUCUUGCGCAGUGGGGGGAAGCCUGAUGCAGCAACGCCGCGUGCGGGAUGACGGCCUUCGGGUUGUAAACCGCUUUCGCCUGUGACGAAGCGUGAGUGACGGUAAUGGGUAAAGAAGCACCGGCUAACUACGUG